Molecule: non-coding RNA, 1100 nt
Organism: Momordica charantia (bitter melon)
Lineage: Eukaryota; Viridiplantae; Streptophyta; Magnoliopsida; Cucurbitales; Cucurbitaceae
Source: RefSeq, a predicted model, not a curated record
GUAAGAAUUAUCCAAGUCUAUUGACAAGUUGAAACAUUUGAGAUAUCUCGACCUUACUAAUAGUAAUGAUAUAAAAUUCCUUCCAAAUUCCAUUACUGAAUUAUAUAAUUUGGAAACACUUAUCCUUCGGGGCUGCGAGGAAUUAAAAAUUGCAGACAUGCCUAACUUGAAGGGGCGGUGGAAAGAUGAAACAUUAGGGGAAUUAGCUCAAAAUAGUGUCUCGUUUCCAACAACGAUGUCUUGCCUUUCUAAGUUAACGGUUAAGCGUUGUGGUCAGUUGGCUUCCAUUCCAUGGUGUGCAGCCAAUUUGCAAUCAAUGAACAUAACAGGUGUUAACUUCCGGCUAUUUCAUUCGCUGCCGGAAGGGAUCCGCCAUCUCCACUCUUGCAACAGAUUUGGAUGAAUGGAUGCCCAAAAGAAAUGGAGAAGAUUGGCCUAAAAUCGCCCAUGUCCCGAGGGUUGAACUUGGAAGAUAACAGAAUAAUCAAUAAACCUUCAUCAGGUACGUGAAGCCAUCUCCCAACCAGCUCAUUUAUUAUUGUAAUUUCCUUCCCAAACUUCUAACUUUCAACCCUCAUUUCAAUUUCUUUACGGCCAUCGUAUUACAACAUCUUAUGCCAACCAUUGAAAUCAUCGCCACCAGAAGGGUUAAUGUGCCACCGCCUUGACCAUGAAGCCAGGCACAAAACUUGCAAACAGAUUCAAAAAGUUUGACAACAGCCAACCACAAAAUGGUUUAAUCUCUGUCAUUGGAACUGAAGGAUUGGGUUGGUUUCUGAACCACUUGCUUCUGAACAUAGGGUAAAAAGAACAUCUGUGGUAUAAACAAAUGAAGGUGGAAAAAGGAGAUGAAGGAGAUUACCCAAAGCAACAUGAGUGAACCAGACGAUGGUUGGAUUACGCUUUAAAGAUGAAUUUUUCAAUUUUCUCAUGUAAUAUUGUCAAUUGUCUAGAUAUUUAUCUUGCUAUAUAUCUUACCUCACAUGUCUCUAUUAUAUAUAUAUCUAUAUAUCUAUCGCGUGUCUCUAGUAGUGACUUGAGACUAGAGAAAACUUUGUGUGCCUAAUUAUUAUUGAUAGUGAAGAUUUUGAUUACGGUUC